RNAcentral lists this ribosomal RNA (494 nucleotides) under uncultured bacterium. RNAcentral describes it as "bacterial SSU rRNA". It matches the Rfam family "Bacterial small subunit ribosomal RNA", at positions 28 to 521 of the family's 1533-position model. The record is from RNAcentral.
GACGAACGCUGGCGGCGUGCUUAACACAUGCAAGUCGAACGGAGCGCUUCUGACAGAGACUUCGGUCAAUGGAUGAAGUUGCUUAGUGGCGGACUGGUGAGUAACGCGUGAGGAACCUGCCUUUCAGAGGGGGACAACAGUUGGAAACGACUGCUAAUACCGCAUGACACAUUGAAGGGGCAUCCCUUUGAUGUCAAAGAUUUAUCGCUGAAAGAUGGCCUCGCGUCUGAUUAGAUAGUUGGCGGGGUAACGGCCCACCAAGUCGACGAUCAGUAGCCGGACUGAGAGGUUGACCGGCCACAUUGGGACUGAGAUACGGCCCAGACUCCUACGGGAGGCAGCAGUGGGGAAUAUUGGGCAAUGGGACGCAAGUCUGACCCAGCAACGCCGCGUGAAGGAAGAAGGCUUUCGGGUUGUAAACUCUUUUAAGGGGAGAGCAGAAGACGGUACCCCUUGAAUAAGCCACGGCUAAACUACGUGCCAGCAGCCGCCGU